This 396-nucleotide ribosomal RNA is filed under the name uncultured bacterium. RNAcentral describes it as "partial 16S ribosomal RNA". It matches the Rfam family "Bacterial small subunit ribosomal RNA", at positions 338 to 731 of the family's 1533-position model. The record is from RNAcentral.
CCUACGGGAGGCAGCAGUGAGGAAUAUUGGUCAAUGGGCGCUAGCCUGAACCAGCCAAGUAGCGUGAAGGAUGACUGCCCUAUGGGUUGUAAACUUCUUUUAUAAGGGAAUAAAGUGCAGUAUGUAUACUGCUUUGCAUGUACCUUAUGAAUAAGCAUCGGCUAACUCCGUGCCAGCAGCCGCGGUAAUACGGAGGGACCGAGCGUUAUCCGGAUUUAUUGGGGUUAAAGGGUGCGUAGGGGGGGUUUUAAGUCAGCGGGGAAAAUUUCGGGCGUAACCCCCGCCCGGCAUUUGAAACUGGGUGGCUUGAGUGCGCGAGAGGAAGGCGGAAUGCGUGGUGUAGCGGUGAAAUGCAUAGAUAUCACGCAGAACCCCGAUUGCGAAGGCAGCUUUCUG